CCUACGGGUGGCAGCAGUGGGGAAUAUUGCACAAUGGGCGAAAGCCUGAUGCAGCAAUGCCGCGUGAAGGAAGAAGGGUUUCGGCUCGUAAACUUCUAUCAAUAGGGACGAAAGCAAUGAGGGUACCAGAAUAAGAAGCCCAGGCUAACUACGUGCCAGCAGCCGCGGUAAUACGUAGGGGGCAAGCGUUAUACGGAAUUACUGGGUGUAAAGGGUGAGUAGGCGGCAUGGUAAGCCAGAUGUGAAAGCCUUGGGCUUAACCCGGGGAUUGCAUUUGGAACUAGCAAGCUAGAGUACAGGAGAGGAGAGUAGAAUUCCUAGUGUAGCGGUGAAAUGCGUAGAUAUGAGGAAGAACACCAGUGGCGAAGGCGGCCUUCUGGACUGAAACUGACGCUGAGGCGCGAAAGCGUGGGGAGCGAACAGGAUUAGAUACCCCUGUAGUC
This 443-nucleotide ribosomal RNA is filed under the name uncultured bacterium. RNAcentral's name for it is "partial 16S ribosomal RNA". It matches the Rfam family "Bacterial small subunit ribosomal RNA", at positions 338 to 795 of the family's 1533-position model. The record is from RNAcentral.